RNAcentral lists this ribosomal RNA (490 nucleotides) under uncultured bacterium. RNAcentral's name for it is "partial 16S ribosomal RNA". It matches the Rfam family "Bacterial small subunit ribosomal RNA", at positions 30 to 507 of the family's 1533-position model. The record is from RNAcentral.
AUUGAACGCUGGCGGCAUGCUUUACACAUGCAAGUCGGACGGCAGCACAGAGAAGCUUGCUUCUUGGGUGGCGAGUGGCGAACGGGUGAGUAAUAUAUCGGAACGUACCGAGUAAUGGGGGAUAACUAAUCGAAAGAUUAGCUAAUACCGCAUAUUCUCUGAGGAGGAAAGCAGGGGACCUUCGGGCCUUGCGUUAUUCGAGCGGCCGAUAUCUGAUUAGCUAGUUGGUGGGGUAAAGGCCUACCAAGGCGACGAUCAGUAGCGGGUCUGAGAGGAUGAUCCGCCACACUGGGACUGAGACACGGCCCAGACUCCUACGGGAGGCAGCAGUGGGGAAUUUUGGACAAUGGGCGCAAGCCUGAUCCAGCCAUGCCGCGUGUCUGAAGAAGGCCUUCGGGUUGUAAAGGACUUUUGUCAGGGAAGAAAAGGCUGUUGCCAAUACCGACAGCUGAUGACGGUACCUGAAGAAUAAGCACCGGCUAACUACGUG